UAGUUUAUAUCUCAAUGGUAGAGAAUUCAAUUGAUAAUUGAUUAAUAUGAGUUCAAAUCUCAUUAAACUAA
Molecule: transfer RNA, 71 nt
Filed under: Metschnikowia agaves
Lineage: Eukaryota; Fungi; Ascomycota; Pichiomycetes; Serinales; Metschnikowiaceae
Description: tRNA-Ile
Rfam family: tRNA
About the family: Transfer RNA (tRNA) molecules are approximately 80 nucleotides in length. Their secondary structure includes four short double-helical elements and three loops (D, anti-codon, and T loops).
Source: RNAcentral